UGGGAUUUUUAUCUUCAUCUUUAAACUUGUCCAUGGCAGCUAAAUGCACAGUACGAGCAUGCUCAUCCUCGUACCCCUCCCCACCACACCACAAAUAUGGCGUCUUCUUGAGUUUUAGUGGAGUUGACACUCGUAAAAAAUUUACUAGUCAGUUGUUAGUAGCUUUGGAACGAAAUGAUUUUCAAACAUUUAGAGACAACAAAAGGCUAGAGAGAGGAGAAGAUAUCGGGUUGGGAUUACUUGAAGUAGUUGAGGAUUCAAGGAUCUCUCUUGUUGUAUUCUCAAAAAGCUAUCUUACAUCAAGGUGGUGUCUUAAUGAACUCGAGAAAAUUAUGGAAUGCAAGAAGAAAUUGCAGCACAUUGUUCUGUCUAUUUUCUACAAGGUUGAGCCAUUAGACCUAUGGGUGCAGAAGGGAAACAUUGCAAGAGCAUUGGCUAGCCACAAAGAAAUAGAUUUCAAGAUUCAGAUUUGAACAGUUGCUUUAACUGAGGCUUCACACUUGGCUGGUUGGGUUAAAACAAAUAUGGGGGAAAGACUACCCAAUCGGAAUAAUGUCUCAUCUACGAAAGCUUACUACACUAUUGCACCUUGAGUCAUCAGAUAAUAUUCAUAUUAUUGCUAUAUGGGGAAUUGGUGGCAUAAGAAAGACAACAAUUGCAAAAUCUGCUUAUAAUAGUUUUCGUCGUCGAUUUGAAGGCAGUAGCUUUGUUGCAGAGUGUUUCUCGUUCGGUUGCAACAUUUGAUCUUGUUCAUUUUGAUGCGUAGGGACCUACUCCUAUUGCUACAAAAGAAGGGUCUAGAUAUUAUGUCUCUUUUAUUGAUGAUUAUUGUAGUUACUAUUGGGUUUAUCUUGUGAAACGACGCUCUGAUUUUCUUUCUAUCUAUCGUUCUUUUAGAGCACUUGUUAAAACUCAACAUUUUGUUGUGAUUAAGUGCUUUUGAUGUGACCAAGGGGGGGGGGAGUAUACUUCUGUUGAUUUUUUUGAAUUGGUUGCUUCUGAUGGGACAAUUCACCAAACUUCAUGUCUUAACACCCCACAAUAAAAUGGUGUUGUUGAAUGAAAGUACAGGCACAUUGUAGAAACUACUCGUUCUCUUCUCUUGUCUGUCAAAGUUCCUAGUGAAUUUUAAGGAGAAGUAGUUCUCAUCGAUGUUUCUUUAAUUAAUAAGAUUCCAUCUUCUCACACUUCGGGUUUGUCACCAUUUGAAACAUUGUUUGGACAUCCUCAUAAUUAUUCCUUAUUGAGAUUUUUUUGUUGUACUUGUUUUGUCCUUCGUCCUAAAGUAGAUCGUAGUAAGUUGACUUCAUGC
Molecule: long non-coding RNA, 1312 nt
Organism: Diospyros lotus (date-plum)
Lineage: Eukaryota; Viridiplantae; Streptophyta; Magnoliopsida; Ericales; Ebenaceae
Exons: 3
Source: RefSeq, a predicted model, not a curated record